Molecule: long non-coding RNA, 217 nt
Organism: Hibiscus syriacus
Lineage: Eukaryota; Viridiplantae; Streptophyta; Magnoliopsida; Malvales; Malvaceae
Exons: 2
Source: RefSeq, a predicted model, not a curated record
UUCUCCAACUGAGGUCUCGUAACCCUGCGGCAAUGAGCUGAUAAAGUUGUAGUAAUUGAAGUCCACAAACCUGAAAACCAACAACAACAAAAAAAAAACUGAGACCCCAGCGUGUUAAAUGCGGCCGCGCAGACAAAAAUAAAGCACAAACAGCUACAGCUACAGCUACAGCUACCUCAGCAGUAGCAACAACAAAUGACCACGGAUACUGCAAAAA